This 492-nucleotide ribosomal RNA is filed under the name uncultured bacterium. RNAcentral's name for it is "partial 16S ribosomal RNA". It matches the Rfam family "Bacterial small subunit ribosomal RNA", at positions 29 to 507 of the family's 1533-position model. The record is from RNAcentral.
AGUGAACGCUGGCGGUAGGCCUAACACAUGCAAGUCGAACGGCAGCACAGUAAGAGCUUGCUCUUACGGGUGGCGAGUGGCGGACGGGUGGGGAAUACAUCGGAAUCUACUUUUUCGUGGGGGAUAACGUAGGGAAACUUACGCUAAUACCGCAUACGACCUACGGGUGAAAGCAGGGGAUCUUCGGACCUUGCGCGAUUGAAUGAGCCGAUGUCGGAUUAGCUAGUUGGCGGGGUAAAGGCCCACCAAGGCGACGAUCCGUAGCUGGUCUGAGAGGAUGAUCAGCCACACUGGAACUGAGACACGGUCCAGACUCCUACGGGAGGCAGCAGUGGGGAAUAUUGGACAAUGGGCGCAAGCCUGAUCUAGCCAUACCGCGUGGGUGAAGAAGGCCUUCGGGUUGUAAAGCCCUUUUGUUGGGAAAGAAAAGCAGCAGGUUAAUACCCCGCUGUUCUGACGGUACCCAAAGAAUAAGCACCGGCUAACUUCGUG